GCUUCGGUGGUGGAUUAGUGGCGAACGGGUGAGUAACACGUGGGCAAUCUGCCCUUCACUCUGGGACAAGCCCUGGAAACGGGGUCUAAUACCGGAUAAUACUCCUGCCUGCAUGGGUGGGGGUUGAAAGCUCCGGCGGUGAAGGAUGAGCCCGCGGCCUAUCAGCUUGUUGGUGGGGUAAUGGCCUACCAAGGCGACGACGGGUAGCCGGCCUGAGAGGGCGACCGGCCACACUGGGACUGAGACACGGCCCAGACUCCUACGGGAGGCAGCAGUGGGGAAUAUUGCACAAUGGGCGAAAGCCUGAUGCAGCGACGCCGCGUGAGGGAUGACGGCCUUCGGGUUGUAAACCUCUUUCAGCAGGGAAGAAGCGCAAGUGACGGUACCUGCAGAAGAAGCGCCGGCUAACUACGUGCCAGCAGCCGCGGUAAUACGUAGGGCGCAAGCGUUGUCCGGAAUUAUUGGGCGUAAAGAGCUCGUAGGCGGCUUGUCACGUCGGAUGUGAAAGCCCGGGGCUUAACCCCGGGUCUGCAUUCGAUACGGGCUAGCUAGAGUGUGGUAGGGGAGAUCGGAAUUCCUGGUGUAGCGGUGAAAUGCGCAGAUAUCAGGAGGAACACCGGUGGCGAAGGCGGAUCUCUGGGCCAUUACUGACGCUGAGGAGCGAAAGCGUGGGGAGCGAACAGGAUUAGAUACCCUGGUAGUCCACGCCGUAAACGUUGGGAACUAGGUGUUGGCGACAUUCCACGUCGUCGGUGCCGCAGCUAACGCAUUAAGUU
RNAcentral lists this ribosomal RNA (776 nucleotides) under Streptomyces cavourensis. RNAcentral's name for it is "bacterial SSU rRNA". It matches the Rfam family "Bacterial small subunit ribosomal RNA", at positions 77 to 866 of the family's 1533-position model. Lineage: Bacteria; Bacillati; Actinomycetota; Actinomycetes; Kitasatosporales; Streptomycetaceae. The record is from RNAcentral.